Molecule: ribosomal RNA, 465 nt
Filed under: uncultured bacterium
Lineage: Bacteria
Description: partial 16S ribosomal RNA
Rfam family: Bacterial small subunit ribosomal RNA
Source: RNAcentral
GACGAACGCUGGCGGCGCGCCUAACACAUGCAAGUCGAACGAGCGAGAGAGAGCUUGCUUUCUCAAGCGAGUGGCGAACGGGUGAGUAACGCGUGAGGAACCUGCCUCAAAGAGGGGGACAACAGUUGGAAACGACUGCUAAUACCGCAUAAGCCCACGACCCGGCAUCGGGUAGAGGGAAAAGGAGCAAUCCGCUUUGAGAUGGCCUCGCGUCCGAUUAGCUAGUUGGUGAGGUAACGGCCCACCAAGGCGACGAUCGGUAGCCGGACUGAGAGGUUGAACGGCCACAUUGGGACUGAGACACGGCCCAGACUCCUACGGGAGGCAGCAGUGGGGAAUAUUGCACAAUGGGGGAAACCCUGAUGCAGCGACGCCGCGUGGAGGAAGAAGGUCUUCGGAUUGUAAACUCCUGUUGUUGAGGAAGAUAAUGACGGUACUCAACAAGGAAGUGACGGCUAACUACGU